Long non-coding RNA from Haemorhous mexicanus (house finch), 1632 nucleotides. RefSeq lists it as uncharacterized. Lineage: Eukaryota; Metazoa; Chordata; Aves; Passeriformes; Fringillidae. The record is from RefSeq and is a predicted model, not a curated record. The transcript is spliced from 2 exons.
GCCGAGCCGAGCCGAGCCGAGCCGGGGCUGUGGGGGCGCCGCGGCAGCGCUCACACCGCCCCCACGAGCGCUGCGCUCCGCGCCUCUGCUCCGCUCACCCAGCGAGCCGCAGCUGCCCCUCCCGCACCGUACCCCCCUCCACCUUUGCCGCCCGCCGGCUCUGAGGGCUUGAACCGCCUCCCGAAGGAGGCUGGGAGCGUCCCUGGUCUGAGGAGCGGAGCGCCCGACCCGGAGCGGGAGUUCGAUAGGAAAGACGCGAGGUCUAGAGGAGGAGAGGCAGGUCCCGGCGCAGCGCGAUCCGCUCGCUGAGCACCUCGUUAAAGCCGUGCGUGUCCAGGCCGAGCGGCCGCUCCCCCGCAGCAGCCCCUUGCCCAUCCUGCAGGGGAAGGGACAGCGGCUGGGACUCGGGACCCCCCUCUGCCUUCCCCUCCGGCCGCCUGCCCUGCUGCUUCACCACGCGAUAGCCCUUCCUGGCCCUGCUGUGGUUCCUUUUGCCGGUGGGCGACAUGACGGCCAUGAUCAACUCAUCCUCCCGCAGGGAGAUGAAAGGCGAUAGACCAUCCAAAGGGUAAUACUGCUGGCUCUCCUCCUGGGUUUCCAGCAUCUCUUGGGUCUCCACAAAGUCCAGCUGAUACCCUUCCCGGGGGUUGAACUCCACAGGCUGGAAAGUCCCUUCCUUGCUCUGGUUGCUGGGUGGUGGAUUCAGCGUUGUAACCAUCAGUAGUAAAAACCCCAGCAUCAGAAACAACAAGAGAAACUGCAGCUUACGUGAUCCAUAUCUGCACUUCUUCCUCAAGAACAUACUGUUGGUGACAAAAUUAUACAGAUGGUCAUGUUAAAUAUCACUUGAAUCUUCCUCAGAUUUCAGUCCUCGGGUUGCACAAAAGCCCUGGUUUUCACUAUCUGCCAAGAAAAUUUUUUUGCUCCCUUCACAUUUCACUGAUGCCAUUUCAUGCUUUCCUCUCUAUUUGCAGAAAAAAAAAUAUAACAUUCCUAUUAACAUUGUACUUACUGUAGUAAAAUGUAGCAUGGAUCCAGUGAGAUAAAGUAGAUCCUUUAUUAUACGGAGUCCCAGGUUAGUUAGGAAAGUGCAUGCUUUGCUGAUUGAAAGAGUAGCUAAAGCUUUGAUUUUUUUUUUUUUUUUUUUUCCUUUUUAAAAUUCUAAGUUGAAAGAAAUCCCAUUUCUCAUUGUUUCUUUCAAGGGUAGAUCCUGCUUCUUCAAAGUUUCAAAUUGCUGCCUGGAUUGAAGCACUGUAUCUCUGAAAGCAGAUCUGACAGCUCUCCCCCGUUCAGAGGCUUCAAGUUAACUGUGAUCAACAGAUGAGAAGUAGUCGGUCCCUGACUUUGUUUCACACAUAACUACGGCAUUCAGUCAGGAAGCACUUUGCCAGACAUAAUACAGAGCAAUGUGUGCGUCUUUCUCUUGGUCCUAAUGCCCUCACUGUGCUUGUCCUAUCAAAUCAAAACUUUGCAAAUGCUGUAAGAGGUGAAAUACAAGAAGCAGAAUGUUGUAUUAGAAAAGAAAUCAAGGCACACCACAGACUGCUGUAGGUUGGAAUAGCUGUAAUAAGCUGAGAAUGCACAGAGCGAGAAUCAAGAAUUUUAUAAAGUGAAUAAAAAAUGGAGAGCACA